CCAGCAUCUCAGAGAUGGAAAGGACCUCAAUGCCCUCCAGUCUGCCUCCUGACUCCUGACUCAUUCAGUUGUUAUUAGAAGACCUCCAGGAAGGUCUUCCAUUUUUCCUUUCCCCUAACCAGCCUAGAUCUGCCUCUUUGCUACUUCUAACCAUGGCUUCUAGUGCCCCUUUGCAGGAUGGGAGCAGGGGUCCUGGGACAAGCAGAAAGUGACUGCCUCUUCUGGUUAAUGACCUGACCUUGAGAAUACUGAAAGACCGUUCUCACUGUCUCCUGUUUCUUCACCAGGACCUUCCCCUCCAGGCCGGUCCCUUCCCGGGAGGAUUUUUCCAAUUUGUCAAUCUAGUUCUUUAAAUAAAGUAAACAAGUUUAUGACUGGCCGUUACCAAAAGGAAGUUUCAUAUGGAGGUAUUUGGGACAUCCGGGAUGCCUCCGUCUGUUUAUUACAUUCUUCCACUCUGCAUCUCAGAUUUAGUGGGAAGGGGCCUUGGGGUCCAGCGCCUUCAUUUUACAGAUAAGGAAACUGAGGCUCCUUGACGCCUUCCUCGGGAUGGGGGGAGCGAUAUCGAGGCUGGCACUUUGGGCCACAUCUGGGUCCCUCCAAUUAGUCUCCCCAGUCUCUGAGAGUCCUCACUUUUCUGGACAGGGAUUUUUGAGGGUUUUUCAUGAUUGGUUUAAGGGUUUAAGGGAGGGGGAGGCCACCCUGAGCUCCGCAGUCGGGAAGGGUGGGAAUGGGGCAACAGGUGAAUGGGGGCAGGGGGCGAGGUCUGUCUGGGGAGGAGGCAGGUCCGGCGGUUGGGAGCGCUGAGUCAGCAGAGAGGGGAAAGUGUGGGCCGGGCAGGGCGGGCCCCAAGUCCUCACACGCUCCGUAGCCGCACCGGGAAUGUUAAUCAGAACCACGUUGUCCCUGCCCCCACCCGGCCCUGUUUGGGUGGCUUUAAGCGCGAAUUUUCUCCGCUUUUUCUGUCUCGGGGCAGGACCCGGAGAUCCCUCGAAGGUUGUUUGUUUGUUUGGGUUUGGUGGCGAAGGCGAAAGGCGUUUCAAAGGCUCGCCCCUGGGGCGCUGGCACAAAGGAAGGAAGGAGGCAUCCUGGCACUCGGGACAGGUCUAGGCAAGGCCCCGUCACCCCUGGUCCGUCCCCUGCUGGGGAAGGCGGAAGGGAGGGGAGCCGGGGUUGGAGGCCUCCCCAGCGAGGCCCCGGCGGAGCGGGCCCGUGCCCCGGGCUGGCACCCCCUCCCCAGCGAGGCCCCGGCGGAGCGGGCCCGUGCCCCGGGCUGGCACCCCCUCCCCAGCGAGGCCCCGGCGGAGCGGGGCACAUCCCCUCCCCAGCGAGGCCCCGGCGGAGCGGGCCGUGCCCCGGGCUGGCACCCCCUCCCCAGCGAGGCCCCGGCGGAGCGGACCCGUGCCCCGGGCUGGCUCCGGAGAGGUCCCAGAUGUGCCCUGCGGUGUCGGCCUCAACCUCUGCCCCCUUCCCAGUGAUCUCGUGAAGAGCCUCCACGAGCCUCGGUUUCCUCAUCUGUAAAAUGAAGGAGCCGGAGCCUCCGGCCCCUUCCCACUGCCUCUGAGAUGGGCCACGGGGACACUGUUGUCCGUGGGGUGGGCGGGCACGUCCCGGAAAAGCGAAUGUGCUUGUGGCUGGGUGCGAUGGCACAAAGCGUUGGAAUUCCGAGAUCAAAGCUCUGCCCGUGUCGGGUUGACUUGCGUCUUUCUGGAUUUGUGAGGACGUGGGCUUUGUCAAUGUGUCAACGUGUGCGUGGGGGGAGGGGGGAGGGGGCGCGACAAGCUGGCGAUUGGCUGACCCGUGGGGGAGGAGCACGCUGGUUCUAGGGGCUCCUCCCACAAGCCGAAGAAGUCCUCCUCUGCCUCCAUCCUCGGCGCGGGAUCAUCCCUGGGGCUUGGGGUGGGGGGGAGCACCCGGCCAGGAGCCGGGAGUCAGCCUGUCCUCCCCCCCUGCCCGGCCCUCUCCCAUCCCCCCGGAGCCACGUGGUGGGACGGGAGGGGAGUCCUAAAAGCCCAGUUAUUCCCCACGGCCCCCGGGGCCGCUCCCGGUCCAAUCCCGCCCCCGCCCCGACCGGGGAAGGGAGGCCGAGAGGCCCGUCAUUGUUUCCCACUGAGAGCCGGAGAAAGGCCGGCGGGGCCAGCGCCUGCAGUCCCCAGGGCUCGGCACAUCUGUCUCCGCCACGUGACGGGCCCCGGGCCGGCCAGGAGGAUGACCUCAUUGCCACCGGCCCGCCCCGCCCCCACCCCGCUCGGCGCGGGCCGAAGUGCGGCCCAGAAGGGGAGGGGGAGGGGAGGACACCGAGCCUUCGGUGCCGGGAACUCUGCAGCGGUGGGCGGGAUUCUUGGAAAAUCCCAAAUGCUUUAAUUGUGAAGGGGCGGCCGCCGGGAGUCUCGUUACAAGUUUCCCGGCUCCCUUUGGAAACAUCUUACUUUCACCCUCUCCCAUCCCUCCAGAAGGCCACCCCCUUGUUCCUGGGGGAGAAAACGAGGGACUCGGGAAGUUGAAUGAUUGACCCGGCGCGCCACGGGAUCUGCCGCUGCUGAGCUGACACUUGCCCCCGAGUCCAAUGAUCCCAAAUCCGGAGAUUCCCCCUCCCCCUCACGCCUUCCAAAGCCUCUCCCCAGCUGAAAGGCCGGUCCCCUUCCUCAGAUGGCUUCCUACCCCUUUCGCUGCAUAGUAUGUCCUUCUGAAUCUGCCGGGCCCUUUCCCUGGGCCAGGAAUUACUUUUUUUUAAUGCUUGUAACCCCAGCAGAGAGCACAGGAAGCACUUCAGGUUUUUAUUUAACAGAAAUAAAGCUCCAUCCUUCCUGCUGGGCCCUGCUAGCCCAAUGCCGGCUCCCCCUCCUUGCCCACCCCUCCCCCUCCCCAGUGCCCAGCCAAAGCGAAUUCAUUCUCUAAGGGCCAGCUCCGACCCUGCUCCCUCCAAGAACCCAGUGCAUGAAGAGCUUCCUCCUCAGUCUCUGCUGGGGGACUAGGGGGGCAGCUUCUGGCCUAUCACAUGCCCUGGUCCUCAGCUUCCUCAGCUACAGCAUGAAAGGGCUGGUCUGACACCCUCUGAGCUUUCCUUGCAGCUCAGGUGGAUGAAUCCGCAGUCCUUUGGGCACCUCGAGAAUCCCCUUUGUGUAACUGGAAGAUAUUAGAA
This 3142-nucleotide long non-coding RNA is filed under the name Sarcophilus harrisii (Tasmanian devil). RNAcentral describes it as "lncRNA (ENSSHAG00000021459.1)". Lineage: Eukaryota; Metazoa; Chordata; Mammalia; Dasyuromorphia; Dasyuridae. The record is from RNAcentral.